AGAUUGAACGCUGGCGGCAGGCCUAACACAUGCAAGUCGAGCGGUAGAGAGGUGCUUGCAUCUCUUGAGAGCGGCGGACGGGUGAGUAAUGCCUAGGAAUCUGCCUAGUGGUGGGGGAUAACGCUCGGAAACGGACGCUAAUACCGCAUACGUCCUACGGGAGAAAGCGGGGGACCUUCGGGCCUCGCGCCAUUAGAUGAGCCUAGGUCGGAUUAGCUAGUUGGUGAGGUAAUGGCUCACCAAGGCGACGAUCCGUAACUGGUCUGAGAGGAUGAUCAGUCACACUGGAACUGAAGACACGGUACCAGACUCCUACGGGA
This 320-nucleotide ribosomal RNA is filed under the name uncultured soil bacterium. RNAcentral describes it as "bacterial SSU rRNA". It matches the Rfam family "Bacterial small subunit ribosomal RNA", at positions 26 to 346 of the family's 1533-position model. The record is from RNAcentral.